AGCAGCCGCGGUAAUUCCAGCUCCAAUAGCGUAUAUUAAAGUUGUUGCAGUUAAAAAGCUCGUAGUUGAAUUUCGGGGUUAGUAGAUCGGUCGUGCCACUGGUAUGUACUGGUCUCACUGAUUCCUCCUUCCUGAUGAACCGUAAUGCCAUUAAUUUGGUGUUGCGGGGAGACUGGACUGUUACUUUAGAAAAAUUAGAGUGUUUAAAGCAGGCUAACGCUUGAAUACAUUAGCAUGGAAUAACGGAAUAGGACGUUCGAUCUUAUUUUGUUGGUUUCUAAGAUUGACGUAAUGAUUAAUAGGGAUAGUUGGGGGCAUUAGUAUUCAAUUGUCAGAGGUGAAAUUCUU
RNAcentral lists this small RNA (348 nucleotides) under uncultured Entrophospora. Its description in RNAcentral is "SSU rRNA". It matches the Rfam family "Eukaryotic small subunit ribosomal RNA", at positions 569 to 921 of the family's 1831-position model. Lineage: Eukaryota; Fungi; Glomeromycota; Glomeromycetes; Entrophosporales; Entrophosporaceae. The record is from RNAcentral.